CCUACGGGUGGCAGCAGUGGGGAAUAUUGGACAAUGGGCGAAAGCCUGAUCUAGCCAUGCCGCGUGUGUGAAGAAGGCCUUCGGGUUGUAAAGCACUUUCAGUGGGGAAGAAAGCCUUGGGGCUAAUACCCUCGAGGAAGGACAUCACCCACAGAAGAAGCACCGGCUAACUCCGUGCCAGCAGCCGCGGUAAUACGGAGGGUGCGAGCGUUAAUCGGAAUUACUGGGCGUAAAGCGCGCGUAGGCGGUCUGAUAAGCCGGUUGUGAAAGCCCCGGGCUCAACCUGGGAACGGCAUCCGGAACUGUCAGGCUAGAGUGCAGGAGAGGAAGGUAGAAUUCCCGGUGUAGCGGUGAAAUGCGUAGAGAUCGGGAGGAAUACCAGUGGCGAAGGCGGCCUUCUGGACUGACACUGACGCUGAGGUGCGAAAGCGUGGGUAGCAAACAGGAUUAGAUACCCGGGUAGUC
Molecule: ribosomal RNA, 465 nt
Filed under: Vreelandella stevensii
Lineage: Bacteria; Pseudomonadati; Pseudomonadota; Gammaproteobacteria; Oceanospirillales; Halomonadaceae
Description: partial 16S ribosomal RNA
Rfam family: Bacterial small subunit ribosomal RNA
Source: RNAcentral